UGGCAAACGGGUGAGUAACACGUAAAAAACCUGCCUUCAGAGGGGGACGAACAGUUGGAAACGACUGCUAAUACCGCAUAAGCCCACAGGUCGGCAUCGACCAGAGGGAAAAGGAGCAAUCCGCUUUGAGAUGGCCUCGCGUCCGAUUAGCUAGUUGGUGAGGUAACGGCCCACCAAGGCGACGAUCGGUAGCCGGACUGAGAGGUUGAACGGCCACAUUGGGACUGAGACACGGCCCAG
This 240-nucleotide ribosomal RNA is filed under the name uncultured bacterium. Its description in RNAcentral is "partial 16S ribosomal RNA". It matches the Rfam family "Bacterial small subunit ribosomal RNA", at positions 96 to 334 of the family's 1533-position model. The record is from RNAcentral.